This is a long non-coding RNA of Salvelinus sp. IW2-2015, 1641 nucleotides long. RefSeq lists it as uncharacterized. Lineage: Eukaryota; Metazoa; Chordata; Actinopteri; Salmoniformes; Salmonidae. The record is from RefSeq and is a predicted model, not a curated record.
ACAAGGCCGAGUAUAGCCACAAAGAUCUCCGCCACGGCACAACUAGGGGCGCCAACCCAGACAUUUGUCGAUUUGUCACAUUGUCGAAGGAGUGCUCCCUCAGACCAUCCGGUGCAUGGACAUCCUGUGCCAGUGUGAUGUGGUUGUGGAGACUACAGCACAUCGAGCCUGUGGACGAACAAACGUGACAUGCGGAACAUCAGGCUCACCCCACGAGAAGUAUGAUCAAUGCACCCUCAGCAAGGAGAAGUGAUGUCUCUCCCAUCCUGCAUUUACCAGAAACUGAAGCUCCACACAACAAAGGGGGUACUGACAGGUGGUGUGAUGAAGACUCUGAUCCAGUGCCCCCCAAAAAACAUUGUAAUAAAACUUCAAGAAAUGAGGUGUGGCUUGCGGAACAUCCUGCUCACCCCAUGAGAAGCAGAGCAUGAUCAACGCCACUUGCAGAAAGGAGAUCUUCUGGAAUGGAUGUACUCUCACUCUGGGGGUAGAGGCAGGGAUGACUGGGUUCUUCAGCAAGUAAGACACGGGGUAAGAAAUAAUUUAAACAUCACAGAUAUAAAUUCCCAAUGUGCCCAUGAUAAAGUUAACUACAUUACUUUAGUUGGCUGCUUUCAGCAAAAAUUGUAUGUAAUGUAACCUAUUCUGGGAGACUAGUGUAUGUAUGUACAAUGUGGAAUAUUUUUGGACCAUUGGCUUCCCUGAAAACGGAGACUGACAGGAGGAUCAAUAGGAGUCUGCCAGGGGUCGUCACGCUGGAUGGUGAUGGAGGUUUUGGUGGUCCACACAACGAAGAAGCAGGUGUCCCUUCAAGUGACGUGGAGUUGACCUUGGACCAAGUGCCAGUAAGGAUGGUUCUUCACGGAGGCUGUAAGACCCUUUCUUCUGGAUAUAGAAAUCCUUCAACUUCACUGCCUCUUCAAUGGUAAGGCCCCCUUGCACCAUAGGGGCAUUUGACCUCCACCAAUGCUGUGGUGCCCACCAGACCAUCUGGUGAGGCACCCAGAAUCCCAGAACCCGUGACCCAAAGCCCAGACUCCUGCACAUCCAUCCCUGUAGCCAUUUUGAAUGCCUMGAUGCCCUCCUCUUUAUCUGUGCCCCACUUUACACACAACACCCCAUCCAACGACUGUGAACACCUUGAAAUGUAUGCAUUUUAAGAAAUGUGAUAUAAAAAUUGUUUGAUUUGAUUGAUGACUACAGCUGUAGAAUAUUUAAUAAACUGUAAAGUGCAGUUUUUCCAUAAACUUUUAAUUGAUAACUUGGGAUUUUGUCACUUGACAUAUCAAUCAUACAGUGGGAAGGAUCCUAUAAAUCAAGACUGUGUGGAUGCAUGUACCUCUCCGAAUAAAUAAAUACAAUAAAGUCUGAUGUCUAAACAAAGUCAAUUCUGAAUGUCAAUUAGUUUUGGAUUAAUUCUCAUCAAUUCUAGAACUGAGUUAACACUAAUCGAAGUCUGGUAUCCGGGGUAAUCUGGUUAUUGAUUAUAUGAUAAAGUGUCUGUUUCCUUAUAGAAUGUUGACAGCUGUAUAGAACAAAUUGUAUUGCUAUGAUGCUCAAACUUAAUAGGUUGCAUGUUCAAAUCCAGCGAUAGAGUUUUGUUUUAAGCCUAUCCCAAACCUUAACCAUUGCGGUAAUGCC